UUUAUGUAGCUCAGUGUUAGAGUGCUUGCCACACAUGCAUGAGGCACUGGGUUCGAUCCUCAGCACCACAUAAAA
Molecule: transfer RNA, 75 nt
Filed under: Marmota monax (woodchuck)
Lineage: Eukaryota; Metazoa; Chordata; Mammalia; Rodentia; Sciuridae
Description: tRNA.Val
Source: RNAcentral